This is a long non-coding RNA of Oncorhynchus tshawytscha (Chinook salmon), 525 nucleotides long. RefSeq lists it as uncharacterized. The transcript has 2 exons. The record is from RefSeq and is a predicted model, not a curated record. Lineage: Eukaryota; Metazoa; Chordata; Actinopteri; Salmoniformes; Salmonidae.
GGCUCUAAGAAGGUAAUGUAUCCAAUUCUAGUUAUUUUGAUACGAAGAGUUGAAUCAACUACUUUUUCUUAUGCAACUAAACAUAUCGGCCAAUUUAAACAAAUUAAAACUCUGGGAGGAAAGACUCACAACAUGCAACUCCUCAUCAUGUGCUACAACUACCAGCUGCCUGGCUGUCCCUUGUAGGUUCCAGCAUAUUGGACAGAGCUGUGUGUGGAUCCAACGGAGUCACUUACGCCAAGAAACCAGGGGGAAGACACUAACUGUCAAAUGUGGACCUUGCUGAAGAAGUCGGAAUUUGCAACUUCAACCGGAUAAAACAUAGCUGGAACACAAAUUGUGAUGAAAAAGAGCAGAUUAUGCAGAAUAUAUAUAUAUAUAUAUUUUUAACACAAACUUUUUUUUCAACUUUUAUUCAUCUCUUUGUUGAUGUUGCACCCAGGGCUAACAAAAUGUCUCCAAACAGAAUGUAACAAGAUCCUUGCACAAGAGCACACAGCAACAAAUAAAGAGUGUCAGUAGGAA